CUUCGUUUGAGGGUGACUUUGCUCACCGUGGCCUAAAGAGGAGUAAGAGGGUGGGUGCCGAUUCACCGCCGCCGAGCGAAAGGUCAACGCUUCCCGGCCUUUUGGCUGAGAUCCAGUGUAGUGUCGGUCUUGUCAGUUUAACAUCUGACACGUCCUCUAUGCGAGGACGGUAUGUGAAAUGAACUUUUGAAGCUGGGAGAUGGACUGGGAGCCGGCUCCGUCCACUCCGCGCAUCGCCCUGGGAUUGCAGCGCUGCCGGGAGCGGUGCCCCCCUCCGGGGAAUAGGACUGUGGCCUAAAGUCAGCUUCCGCCCUGUAGUCCGCCCUCCCGCCUGCGGCUUCUGCCUUGGUGGCCACCGGGUGCAUCUGGGGUUCAUAGUCGGGCAGUCUCCAGCUUUCCCAUAAGGUUGGGAGCUGUGCUAUGAAGGAAGCCCUUCUGAUUCAACGGCCAGCAAUUUCGGUCCUCGGGAUGCUUGCUCUGCGGGGGAAUCGGGGAGGAGUCGGACUCUUUCCGGUGAUGAACGUACACGGGAUUCCCUCUUUUUCUUGGGCCCUUCCUGAUGGAUGCCAUUUCAAUAGCUGGCUGCUUUAACUAGGUGGGCUUUUUAAAAUUAGAACCUUUACUUACUUUGGAGUGAGGAUCUGACGCGCCCGACCCCCGACCGACCGACGACCGACUGACCGACCGACGGACCACCGACUCAGGCACCCAGGCGCCCUAAAUAGGUGGUCAUUUUUAAGGCGGAAUGUUACCUGCAGGUGACGGACCUCCUCUACCGUAGUUCUUGAUGCCUUCUGCGCACAGGGAGAUGCCUCCCUUCGGGCUUCUUGACAGUCCGCUGGCAGAAGUAGAGAAAGGCCUUAUGGACAAGUGGCUUGGCUGGUAACCACAGUGGAAAUGGACAGUUCCUGCUCACUUGUCCCUCCCGGGUUUUCCACUCACGUUAAAUACAUUUGUUGAGCACCCGCAAUGCAAACA
Long non-coding RNA from Suricata suricatta (meerkat), 978 nucleotides. RefSeq lists it as uncharacterized. The transcript has 2 exons. NCBI's taxonomy places the organism in Eukaryota, Metazoa, Chordata, Mammalia, Carnivora, Herpestidae. The record is from RefSeq and is a predicted model, not a curated record.